This 1163-nucleotide long non-coding RNA is filed under the name Chrysemys picta bellii (western painted turtle). Its description in RNAcentral is "lncRNA (ENSCPBG00000015355.1)". The record is from RNAcentral. Lineage: Eukaryota; Metazoa; Chordata; Testudines; Emydidae.
GAGGCAUACAUGGACGUUGUCAGGGUGGAACUGCGACUCCUCAAAAUGCUCUUUCCAGGCCUCGGGGCCUGUCAAUGGCACAUGGGCCCCAGUGCACUUACUUUUGCCGGGACCCUGGGCGGGCUGUCUAUGGGACUGGGUUAUCGGCCGGCAGGUAUGGGAAGUCAAGCCACCCCACGAACCUAGCCGUUUUAUCACCACUCCCCAUGAUUUCGCUGCUCAACAUGACUGGGUGGGAAUCGGAACCUUGUGGUCCUUAUGGCCCUUGGAACCCCCACAGUUGUUUUGUCUCCGCAAGUUACACCCUGGGGAAUUACUGAACAUCUUUGAUACAGUUUGUUGGGAGGGAGAAGCAGUAGGUAAGGCCCCAGGAGGAGAACUCCUAUUUAGCAAAAAGGAUGGUUGCGCCCUGCCAUCGAAUCGCCACACCCCUCUUCCCUUUCAUCUUAACUUAACCACUACCCAGGGUAGCCGCUUUAUCACAUGGCCUGCCAAUCCCCAAAUCUACGUAACCCUCCACCCAGCCGUCCCUCUUACUUUCGAUUGGACUUCCCUCAUCCCAAACCGCUUUUUAAAUUUGACCUUUCUGAUUUCCAUCCUCUCCAGCAUAUCUUACCUCCAAAACCAAAUACAUUUAAUAGAGGUUGAAUACAACGGGGAGGCCAAAGCAUUUCAAACUGCCUACCGGGUGGGUACCCUAUGCUCUUCCCAUAACAUGUUGUGUUUUGCCUCUAAAGAAAUCACCCAAGCCACGCCCAGCCUCUUCACUUCUUCAGUCUUAAAAAUACUAGCUGGUAUAAUGAUCGCAAUCGCUGGCUGUUUAUUAAUUAUCUCCCUUUGUUGCACGUGCAGGGUGUGUCAUUUACCCCAGCUACAGGUUCAGUCACCACCCCAAACUCUUCUUUUUCCCAUUGAUACCCCCAACACAACACUAUACUUUCCUACAGACCCAGAAAUUAGUCACCUUAGUGUCCACCCCUCCGGUACUGCCAGUCUCGUGUCCACUGAUCUCCUUUUACAAGAAACUAUGCCUAAAUACUGCACUAUGGCCUCUUUAGCAAAUUAGAAUAAUGAUGCCUAUAUGGCAUCAGAGGAGGGAAAUUGUGGGGAAAAAGAAAAGACGGUUACUCACCUUUGUAACUGUUGUUCUUCGAGAUGUGUUG